GUGUAUUUGAAAAAAAACUAGAGUCAGUUUUAACAAAGAACCCUACGUUGCAGCUCCCAUCCGCCGCUGCAACCUGCCACCCCCGACGUGCCCCCCGACUGCCGCCUGCCACCCCCCACUGCCGUCGCCUCCUACACCAGCUCGGCACUUCCACGAUUCGCCUUCUCUUUCCUUCGACGAACGGCUGCUCAACGAGUGCUCGCCUCAAAUAGCCGCGCUUGCACCCGCACAGGCACACAGUAGACAGCGCGCCUCCGUCGUCGCUCGCCACGUCGCCGUCUGCCACCAUAGCUGCCACCAUUAGCAGCAAGCGGUAUCGCUACCUUCGUCGCCUCCAUCCAAUGGAGAUGAGUAGCCUCCUCAGCCAGAGGGUUGUAUCGAUCAGUUGAUGGAUGUAUAGAAGGAAGUGCAAAAUCUUGGAGGUUACUCUACUCCAGUUCUUUAUUAUAGUUAAUGUAUUAAAUCUCCAUUUUUCAGAGAUUCAAUGAUAGCAAGGAGCACAUGAUGAAUACCUCAGUUGCGAUUACUCAUGAUGUUGCAGGUUCUCUGCAUCCGCAAGCCUGAAGAGCCUAUUGAUCUUUUUAUGGUUGAGAUAAUGCACAUGUGCCGCCGCGGAUGCAGAGAACUAUGAGGAAGUGCCGUUCGCGGCGCCGCCGCGUAUUGGUGUUGAUCCUUGGUGCAUAUCAGUUGAUACUGCACAUAAAUGGGAGCGUGCUUUUACUAAGAAGCAACAAAAAUUGGUCCAAACGACUACUAACUUGGUUGAUGAAGUUUGGACUAGUAGACCCCCACCUGAAGCAAAUCCUGUUGUUGUGCACCCGAUUAAGUUUUCUGGUUGUUCUGUUGAAGAUAAGCUGAAGCAGUUGAGGGAAGAACUUCUGCAGGAAAAAUCCCGUGCUAUUGUACUUACUGCAUUGGAUGAGGCAACAUGGCUGUUUAAUGUUCGUGGGUCUGAUGUUUCCUUUACUCCUGUUGUUCAUGCAUAUGCUAUUGUCACUUCAACUGCAGCUUUCUUUUAUGUUGACAAGCAAAAGGUGUCUUCGGAGGUGGGGUCUUAUAUGGAGAAAAAUGGUAUUGAAGUGCGUGAUUACAAUGAAGUGAGCUCCGAUGCAGUGUUACUUGCAUCUCUUUAGUUCCAUUGUUCACAGAUCAUCAUACUUUUGUGUUCCAGAAUCAUUCAGAAGGAUUAACUAUCCAUAUUUAAUCCUGUUGAGAUACAAGGACUGAAGAAUGCACAUAUUCGUGAUGGGGCAGGUGUGGUGCAGUAUCUUGUUUGGCUGGAUAAACAGAUUUUGUUCCUGAGAAGAUGAAGGCUGAGGAAGCUUUACCACAAGUAGCAGAGGCUGAAAAAUAAUAAGGAUUGAUUAUACAUUUGCUGAGUGGCUUGAAGAAUUUUAAAAGAUCACAUUGUGAUUAUAUAUUUUUUUGUUAUUUUUGUUCUAUUUUGACUCUAGAUAGAACUAUUGUACUAGACAUAAUUUAUUAUCUUCGGAUGAUAAUUUUAGUACAAUAAUUAAUUAUUUAUAUAAUAUAUAUUUUGGAUUGUCCUA
Salvia miltiorrhiza (redroot sage) is the source of this 1550-nucleotide long non-coding RNA. RefSeq lists it as uncharacterized. NCBI's taxonomy places the organism in Eukaryota, Viridiplantae, Streptophyta, Magnoliopsida, Lamiales, Lamiaceae. The transcript has 6 exons. The record is from RefSeq and is a predicted model, not a curated record.